CGCAAAGCAUACACGUUGCUCCGUCAAUGAAUUCUGAUCGCGCGAAGUCCUGUACCGACGGUCGGUAAAAAGUUCCUCUUGCAGAAGUUUGUAAAGCGAGAACACGUUCACCUAGUUGCAAUUAUGUACUGGGUUUAAUUCUGUUCUUGACACUCUGUGUCGUUUGAUCGCAAGCCGUUUUCACAUCCACGGCUAGCCGUCGUGCCAAACGUGGUACACGCAUGUUUAUUUGCAUCCGUGGAUAUUAAGAGUGCAUUACCCGAGUUUCGGCACUCUGUAAACGGGGACUAUUUCGCAGACAGCGAGGACCAAAGUUUCCGACUUAAAAGAAGUUUGGACAACGAUUAGCUUCUGAUUAAAGCAAGAAGAUCGAUAUUGUAAAGGACAAGGAAUUUGAAGCAAACUAGUGUCAAUCAAAGAAACUGUAUUAAAUUACGUUAUGCUAACGCAACGAAUAUAAUUUGCAUAUUACUCGCAAGUACAUGCAAAUCCAAGGAAUUACUCGGCAUCUAUGUUUUACCUGGAAAAGAGUGCGCCACCGUAUACGUAACUGGGAAUAAACGUGGUUAUUAUUAGAAGAAAUUGUAUGCGGAUAUAACUAAUAAUGACGUGUAAUAGUAUUUUCGUCUCAUGGUGGAAACUGAAGGCUUGGAAAUUCGGUAGCCGCAUACAUAAGCGGCAGAAGCACGAUUAAACUUUAAAAUGCAAUUAUCUCAAAAUAACUGUGCUCGGCAGUUAGCAAGUCUGCGCUCAGUAGGGCAACGUAACCCUUAUAAUUGCUCUGAAUUAAUACAUCAAACAGCUAUGUUAUCUAACAUGCACUGUACUAUGGUACUAACUUGUUGUUUAUUUUACGAUUCGUUUAUGGAUGGCGUAAAAAACGACUCAUUUAGGUGAGAUGUUUCAUGUACGAAUGAGAAUAAGGAAAGGCGUUUUAGAGCGAUCGAGCAAGAUUGUCAAAAGGAUUAACGAUGCUUCAGACGAGCGUUGCAAAAUUGGCAAAUGGUUAUUCGAAUUGUUGUAAUAAACCACAAUACGAUGCCAGCCAGAACCGGACGUAAAUCGAACAAGGUCGUUGCGCGCCUAUUGAAUCCAGGCUUUAUGCGUUUUGACAUUGAGCUUGCAAUCUGAAAACGACGUCGUUUUCGUUCUUAACCUUAUAGCAGAUUUAAUGCACGAGAAAAUGAACGGUGACGAAUGUUUACGCUUCUUCGUGGACGAGUUAACAAUAUCUCUUCUCGGCUCCCAACCGGACGUAUAAAUUUAUUAAUUCUAUCAAAUCUGUGAAGAUUAUUUUUUCCAUGCUCCACCGUCGAGCCAUUAAAAAAAAAAAAAAAAAAGAGAAAAGAAAGAAAAAAAUUUAUACGUGAAAAGAGUAUAUCGUAGUCAAACGACUGAAAGGUUUUUAGUAGUACAUAUACGCAUUCUGUGGCAAAGCGAUUCGAACGUUGGCAUAGCUGAUCAGACAAGAAUGAAGUUGGUUAAACGUGAAAAUAAAGUGCUCUCUGGAAGCUUUACGCCAAGCACGUACACGCAAGCUGCAAUUUGCAUGCUUUUAUGCGGUGCGAAGUUUACAACAAGCGCGUACACGUGCCACCGCCGGAAAAGUUUCCUGUUUUUCUUACGAACUGCUCGUUCGAGGGGAUAUCCGAAUGGAUAAAUUACGUCGUCGCUCUCGGCUGCCUUGCGACGCGUGCCGCGCGUCUAGGGGAAAAAAAGUUCCCCACUCGAGAGUUUUUUUUUCCUAACCUUGUCACCGAUACUAUAGGAAGUAAGCUUAUUAAAUCACCCACAGCCGGCAUAAUUAAAUAAAUGAAUAUGAUGAUUUGAA
This is a long non-coding RNA of Bombus pyrosoma, 1831 nucleotides long. RefSeq lists it as uncharacterized. The record is from RefSeq and is a predicted model, not a curated record. NCBI's taxonomy places the organism in Eukaryota, Metazoa, Arthropoda, Insecta, Hymenoptera, Apidae. The transcript has 3 exons.